RNAcentral lists this small nucleolar RNA (79 nucleotides) under Bombyx mori (domestic silkworm). RNAcentral describes it as "Bm_26". Lineage: Eukaryota; Metazoa; Arthropoda; Insecta; Lepidoptera; Bombycidae. The record is from RNAcentral.
AUCUAAUGAUGAUACCUAUCGGACACAAAUUUGUGUUUUGAUUCAUAAUGAUAAUCUUCCUUGGCUGUGUCUGAAGAUU